Molecule: long non-coding RNA, 1238 nt
Organism: Platichthys flesus (European flounder)
Lineage: Eukaryota; Metazoa; Chordata; Actinopteri; Pleuronectiformes; Pleuronectidae
Exons: 2
Source: RefSeq, a predicted model, not a curated record
CAUGAAAAUUAAAGGGUGGUUUGAAUAGUUUCCUUCCUCCAGUGGAUUCAAGAGGCCUGACUGUCAGAGACUGAUUAAAUCCAUGUCCGUCCCACCAAAGCCAGCAUCUGCUAAGCUACAAUUUGAGGCCGAUGUAUUAUUAUUCCUAGUUAGCCUUAAAAAACAAGAGCAAACUCGUGAGCCCCUGAAUAAUCAGUAACACAUAAUGUGUAAUCCCGUUUCUACUGUAGUGUAAUAAAUAACUUCCAAAAUCGGCCCAAUUGUGAAACCGAUAAAUCAUCUGACAUAUGGGGCCAAUUAUCAACAAACUCCUUCCCUCAGCCUGUGUGCAUCAAUCUGAAAAGGUCAAUCAGAGAGGACACAUCGUUCCUUUAAAUUUGACUCAAAUGAAUGAAACGGACAAAAAACAGAUCCAUCAGCCUCUCUCCCAAUUUCAUUGCCGACUGUUUUUGUGUUUAUCUCUAUUAAUUAAAGUGAGAAUAAGAGACGUGUUUGGUGCAAACACACUCACACCCUUUCCCCGCUCUGACAGCAGGAAAUGCAUUCCAGGUAUCUUAGCUUGAAGUGUUUACCAUGGCCUGACACAGCAUCACAAAUGUCCUUCUCCGAUGCCAACAUCAGCACGAGGUAGGGCCCCAAACAAGAGCCCAAGGGAGUGGCAAGUAUAUUUCGUUUAUCAGCACUGCAAAAAUGAAAAGGUUCCUUCACUACGAACACCUCUUAUUGAAUGGAGAAGUUGGAGGAGAGGAAUAUGACGGAACAGAGGCUGCUUCUCCUAACGACACACAUGGAUUCCUGAGCCGUAAACACAAAAAACAAAAAGGGCUGUGAUCAACAAGUGUGGUCCGGCUGCCAGAACACGACUGCAGUGUGUAAAAACUAUUCUGGAAAAACCUGCGGCUUUAAAGGAGAGCAGAGUAGAAAAGAGUGGUGUCACGCAAUGAGGGAUGUGUUUAUGGGUUUUGGGACUGUAUGUAUGUUUUAGUGAUUAUUGCAAUGCAAGAGUUGUGUCAAGGAACGUAAUCAAAGCAGCAGACAGCCAGAGGAGACAUUUCUGAAGACUGAGGGGCGGCUCUGCUCCUCCGCUCCAAAUCGAGGCUCAUAACCUCACCGCUCUCCUCCAUAAAGGCCCCUGUGUGGUUUCCGUCCUUUUGUCCUAAUCCAAGCCAGAGAUGUGAUUCAUGAAAAGCCCGAGUGUUUCAUUUCAAUGGAGCUACGUAAUAAAAAUGGUAACCUCC